CAGAAAGUAGUUUAUGUAAAAUUUUAAUUUUGGAGAUUAAAGAAAAAUAAGUUUAUUUUAAUAGA
This 65-nucleotide transfer RNA is filed under the name Ips cembrae. RNAcentral describes it as "tRNA-Pro". The record is from RNAcentral. Lineage: Eukaryota; Metazoa; Arthropoda; Insecta; Coleoptera; Curculionidae.